RNAcentral lists this ribosomal RNA (519 nucleotides) under Bacteroides sp. HGA0059. RNAcentral describes it as "bacterial SSU rRNA". It matches the Rfam family "Bacterial small subunit ribosomal RNA", at positions 66 to 574 of the family's 1533-position model. The record is from RNAcentral. Lineage: Bacteria; Pseudomonadati; Bacteroidota; Bacteroidia; Bacteroidales; Bacteroidaceae.
GGGGCAGCAUUUUAGUUUGCUUGCAACUAAAGAUGGCGACCGGCGCACGGGUGAGUAACACGUAUCCAACCUGCCGAUAACUCGGGGAUAGCCUUUCGAAAGAAAGAUUAAUAUCCGAUGGUAUAUUAAAACCGCAUGGUUUUACUAUUAAAGAAUUUCGGUUAUCGAUGGGGAUGCGUUCCAUUAGUUUGUUGGCGGGGUAACGGCCCACCAAGACUACGAUGGAUAGGGGUUCUGAGAGGAAGGUCCCCCACAUUGGAACUGAGACACGGUCCAAACUCCUACGGGAGGCAGCAGUGAGGAAUAUUGGUCAAUGGACGAGAGUCUGAACCAGCCAAGUAGCGUGAAGGAUGACUGCCCUAUGGGUUGUAAACUUCUUUUAUAUGGGAAUAAAGUAUUCCACGUGUGGGAUUUUGUAUGUACCAUAUGAAUAAGGAUCGGCUAACUCCGUGCCAGCAGCCGCGGUAAUACGGGAGAUCCGAGCGUUAUCCGGAUUUAUUGGGUUUAAAGGGAGCGUAG